This is a long non-coding RNA of Aquila chrysaetos chrysaetos, 681 nucleotides long. RefSeq lists it as uncharacterized. The record is from RefSeq and is a predicted model, not a curated record. The transcript has 3 exons. Lineage: Eukaryota; Metazoa; Chordata; Aves; Accipitriformes; Accipitridae.
UAUCCUCUAAAAAGAGCCACCACCACCAGCUGGAAAAUUAGAAACGUUUGCGAUGUUUAAAAGAACGGUUUAUUGCUGUGGAAAGUGUCUACGGUGCCGUAGGCGUACGUGUUUUUCCCCGGUGAGAUAAGGAGGCAGGAGCAAGGCCUCCUCCAGGCCCGAGGGAGGGCCGCCCUGUCAGGCAGCCGGCGGCGUGGGGAGAAAACUGCCCGAAAGCGGCGGCAGGGUGGCAGAGCGGCUGAGCGCGGGGCAGGUGGGGGAUCGGCCCCGCGGAGAGGGAGAAAAGGGCUUUUUAGGGCGAGCACGCAGCUGCUGCGGCCAUGAGGGGCCGGGCGAGAGGACGGAGCUGCCUUCUGAGGACGGGGUCUCAAGCACGUGGCAGCUGAUGGAAGGAGGGUAUAGUUGGUCCCGGCUCUCCUCGGCAGAGCUCGUGUUCUACCGACAACUCUCUCUGGAGCGUAACAGCUUGAAGUGUUUUCUCAGUCAUCAGGAGGAGGUGAUCCCACUGGGAACAGCUUCUUGUGAAAGUGUUAAUCUGCUGACUGUGACUGUGACUUCUCUGGGAUGUUAUUAAGCAUCCAUAUGUCAUUUCCCUCAUUCUUCUCAAAGCUCAAUGCACAAUGUCUGACACGUGCUGCAAUUCUGUGGUGAAAGCUGUUAUUACCAAAACUGUAUUUCUGA